Molecule: long non-coding RNA, 247 nt
Filed under: Elaeis guineensis (African oil palm)
Lineage: Eukaryota; Viridiplantae; Streptophyta; Magnoliopsida; Arecales; Arecaceae
Description: long non-coding RNA (EGUI_LNC043757)
Source: RNAcentral
GCAUGAUUUAUGGAGAGAGAGUCUUAGAGAACCUGAGCUCUUCGAGUCAUGAUUCUACUGAUUCAGAUUGAGUCUCAAUCUGAUGCAAAUCAAGUCUGAUUCGAGUCAAAUUCGACAAGACUGUCAAGCCUGAUCCAAUCAAGCUUGAAAUCCAAAUCUGAUUUGGAUAAUUGAACCCAAUAAAUAUUAAAUUAAAUUAAGUUUAAUUAAAUUAAAUCUAAUUUAAAUAAUUAUAACUUAACUUAUA